RNAcentral lists this unclassified non-coding RNA (264 nucleotides) under Hevea brasiliensis (rubber tree). The record is from RNAcentral. Lineage: Eukaryota; Viridiplantae; Streptophyta; Magnoliopsida; Malpighiales; Euphorbiaceae.
GGAGGACUGGUUCUCCAUCUUUUUUUAACACAAAACAGAGAUGAAAGAAAAUGCCCAUUUUAAUUAUGAUAAACAAUAAACUUCAUUUUGGAAGAAAAAUGUUUGAACAUUACGAACAAUUAAUCAAAACAUGGACAACACAUACUACGAUAAAUCAUAUAUGUCUCUCACUAUGGAUUUGGAACUAUCCAAAAAGAUGGAGAACCAGUCCUCCCUAAACCAAAGGCAUAAAAUGGUUUCGUAAUCUUCUCUUCCAGGCUAAAC